AAUUCAACUCGACUUAAACUCAAAAAACCGAAUUACUUAUUCAAGUUGAUUUGAAAAAAAAUGAAUAACUCUAUUCAAUUAACUCAAAAUUCAAAAAAAGAAAAAAAAAGAAAAUCAAAUUUUUUGAAUCGAAUCAAGUUUUGUUCACUGUUAGUUUGAACCUUGAAUAUGACAUUGUUGGGAGGUACAGUCAUGGUCCCGAACAUGGACCAUAAAACGAACAUGUAAAAUACAAAAAAAAAAGUGAUGUGAUGCCCUUUAUCUUUCUAAACAAUAUUUUGUUUUUGAUUUUAUUUAUUCUCAACCAUAAUAAAAUUUUAUUAAACCUAAGCAAUUUAACUAACCAAUAGUAGAAAUGCUAAAACAAGCACAUCUAACAAACUAUAAAAUACCUCAAUUCAAAAGACACACACCUAAGCAAGC
This 423-nucleotide long non-coding RNA is filed under the name Gossypium raimondii (Peruvian cotton). RNAcentral describes it as "long non-coding RNA (GRAI_LNC008425)". The record is from RNAcentral. Lineage: Eukaryota; Viridiplantae; Streptophyta; Magnoliopsida; Malvales; Malvaceae.